RNAcentral lists this ribosomal RNA (451 nucleotides) under uncultured organism. Its description in RNAcentral is "partial 16S ribosomal RNA". It matches the Rfam family "Bacterial small subunit ribosomal RNA", at positions 334 to 801 of the family's 1533-position model. The record is from RNAcentral.
CACUCCUGCGGGAGGCAGCAGUGGGGAAUAUUGGACAAUGGGCGCAAGCCUGAUCCAGCCAUGCCGCGUGAGUGAUGAAGGCCCUAGGGUUGUAAAGCUCUUUCACCGGUGAAGAUAAUGACGGUAACCGGAGAAGAAGCCCCGGCUAACUUCGUGCCAGCAGCCGCGGUAAUACGAAGGGGGCUAGCGUUGUUCGGAUUUACUGGGCGUAAAGCGCACGUAGGCGGACUAUUAAGUCAGGGGUGAAAUCCCGGGGCUCAACCCCGGAACUGCCUUUGAUACUGGUAGUCUUGAGUUCGAGAGAGGUGAGUGGAAUUCCGAGUGUAGAGGUGAAAUUCGUAGAUAUUCGGAGGAACACCAGUGGCGAAGGCGGCUCACUGGCUCGAUACUGACGCUGAGGUGCGAAAGCGUGGGGAGCAAACAGGAUUAGAUACCCGGGUAGUCCCAUGAU